CUGCUGCCUUCCGUAGGAGUUUGGGCCGUGUCUCAGUCCCAAUGUGGCCGGUCGCCCUCUCAGGCCGGCUACUGAUCGUCGCCUUGGUGAGCCGUUACCCCACCAACAAGCUAAUCAGACGCGGGUCCAUCCUAUACCACCUCAGUUUUUCACACCGAACCAUGCGGUUCUGUGCGCUUAUGCGGUAUUAGCAGUCAUUUCUAACUGUUAUCCCCCUGUAUAGGGCAGGUUACCCACGCGUUACUCACCCGUCCGCCACU
RNAcentral lists this ribosomal RNA (260 nucleotides) under uncultured bacterium. Its description in RNAcentral is "partial 16S ribosomal RNA". The record is from RNAcentral.